CACGGAUGUACAUUUCCUGAGAAAUUCUAUUUUACAAGAGAGGAAGAGCAUAGAUUGUUUACUGUCGUCGUCCGGAUUUUGUGAACCCCUCUAGUACGCACGGUCAUCUGUGUUCGUUACACUUUUCAAAGAAGUGCUAUGAAAGAGACCUAACCUGUGGCGAAAUAUGGAUACGAAUAAGCAAAACCAGAGACCAUAUACCGACUUAAACUUUAAAAGGAUGCUAUAUAUCGGGCAUUCCUUUCGACAUUCCAAACAAACACAGAGGCCGAAAUGUCAACUUGGGACUGAGACCGAGAGAGUUGCAUUCCGGACGCGACGUUAGUUGCAGGAUGUACAUGGCAGCAUUUCACAUCAAUGAAAACAGCCUAAAUGCCCUAGAAGUGACCAAGACUGGAGAACCCAACUGGGCAAUCAGCUACCCCUAGCCCUAAACCAAGAGGCCCAGCCAGUGAACAAGAAAGUACAUGAGUUUGUUGAAUUCCUACCCAGUAGGCCAUUCUUAGGAGA
This is a long non-coding RNA of Haliotis rubra (blacklip abalone), 510 nucleotides long. RefSeq lists it as uncharacterized. The transcript has 3 exons. Lineage: Eukaryota; Metazoa; Mollusca; Gastropoda; Lepetellida; Haliotidae. The record is from RefSeq and is a predicted model, not a curated record.